CUGAGUAAGCUCCAAACUCAAUCCAUACUCCAAGUAACAGACUUAGGAUGUUCAAUAUUGAAAUUCUUUGGCAUCAAUUUAAAAAGAAAC
Molecule: non-coding RNA, 90 nt
Organism: Callithrix jacchus (white-tufted-ear marmoset)
Lineage: Eukaryota; Metazoa; Chordata; Mammalia; Primates; Cebidae
Source: Rfam